Molecule: long non-coding RNA, 392 nt
Filed under: Mytilus galloprovincialis (Mediterranean mussel)
Lineage: Eukaryota; Metazoa; Mollusca; Bivalvia; Mytilida; Mytilidae
Source: RNAcentral
UAGCCUUGACUUCACAAGAGUAGACUGAUGAAUUCGAUGAUGCUAUGAUAAUGAAAUGAUGCAGUGAAGUGUAUGCGGAAUCCUCAUUGACACACAGUCUAAAAAAAAAUCCAGGAAAAAAAAACUAUACAUCACGAACUCCAUAAGAAUCCCGGGUGUGAUAUCAGAUGCACCAGAGUGGUAGACAGGUUCGCCCACCGUUGAUAUUAUUUGUGCUACUCACGGUUAGUUCGAAUUUGUAAUAAGUUCAGUGAUGUCGCAAUCAAGGACAAGAGGAUGAGAGAAUAGCUACGACAAUUGUAGCAAAUCAUUGGUCAUCUGUGACACAAAUAUUCUAUAAUGUUCAACAAAUUCAAUAUGGAAUUCGUAAAUUUUUUGAAGUGAUAUAUAUU